Molecule: unclassified non-coding RNA, 365 nt
Filed under: Hevea brasiliensis (rubber tree)
Lineage: Eukaryota; Viridiplantae; Streptophyta; Magnoliopsida; Malpighiales; Euphorbiaceae
Source: RNAcentral
AGAUCUUCAAAUGAUAUGAGAAGGAACCAAUCGGUUAGCGAUUUUAGGGGUAAUAGCGGUGCUGGUGGUGGAAUGGGGGGUGUUCCCGUCAGGUCUAGAUCGACUGAGGACAUGUAUACCAGAGCACAAUUAGAGGAUUCUGCAGCUAAUAAGGAGAGAUUUUUUGCCAGAAAAAUGGCAGAGAAUGAAUCGCGUCCAGAAGGUUUACCGCCAUCGCAAGGCGGGAAGUAUGUGGGAUUUGGAUCGAGUCCUGCUUCUUCGCAGAGGAAUAAUAAUUCCCAAUCAGAUGUUCUCUCUGUUAUGUCUCAGGGUUUUGGUAGGUUAUCUCUUGUUGCUGCAUCUGCGGCUCAAUCUGCUGCGAAUGU